UCCGGUUUAUCACCGGCAGUCUCUUUAGAGUUCCCGCCAUUACGCGCUGGCAACUAAAGAUAAGGGUUGCGCUCGUUACGGGACUUAACCCAACAUCUCACGACACGAGCUGACGACAGCCAUGCAGCACCUGUCUCUGGGCUCCCGAAGGCACCCUUCCCAUUACGGAAGGUUCCCAGGAUGUCAAGAGUAGGUAAGGUUCUUCGCGUUGCAUCGAAUUAAACCACAUGCUCCACCGCUUGUGCGGGUCCCCGUCAAUUCCUUUGAGUUUUAGCCUUGCGGCCGUACUCCCCAGGCGGAGAACUUAUCGCGUUAGCUGCGACACUAAGCAGUCUAUGCUGCCCAACGUCUAGUUCUCAUCGUUUACGGCGUGGACUAC
RNAcentral lists this unclassified non-coding RNA (379 nucleotides) under uncultured Gammaproteobacteria bacterium. RNAcentral describes it as "contains 16S-23S intergenic spacer region". The record is from RNAcentral. Lineage: Bacteria; Pseudomonadati; Pseudomonadota; Gammaproteobacteria.